GCAGGGGCUCAGGGAUCUGUAUCAGCCCUGUGUGCAGUGAUCACUAUGGUGUCCCACAGCUGCUGGCUGCCUCUACUCAUGCUCUGGCUUCCCGGUUCCUAUGGGCAGAUUGUGCUGACUCAGUCCCCAGAUUAUGUCUCUGUGUCACCGGGAGAAACUGUCACCUUCACAUGUAAAGCCAGUAGCGACAUUUAUAGGUACAUAGCCUGGUACCAACAGAAAUCAGGGCAGGCACCAAAGCUGCUGAUCUAUGGGGCAAGUACCCGACACACAGGGACCCCAGAGCGGAUCAGCGGCAGCGGUUCUGGAACUGAUUUCACCCUUACAAUCAGCAGAAUGGAAGCAGAAGAUGCAGCAGAUUAUUACUGCUAUCAGUAUAGGAGCUACCCACUCACACAGUGAUACAGAGCUGAACAAAAACCUUCCUCCUUUAGAAACAUCUGUUCAUACUGAACAGAAUCACAGAAUUUAAACAGAGGAAGG
Xenopus tropicalis (tropical clawed frog) is the source of this 483-nucleotide non-coding RNA. The record is from the annotation of a RefSeq genome assembly. Lineage: Eukaryota; Metazoa; Chordata; Amphibia; Anura; Pipidae.